UAAGCAUAUUCAUAAGCGCAGGAAAAGAAACCAACAGGGAUUGCCUCAGUAACGGCGAGUGAAGCGGCAAUAGCUCAAAUUUGAAAUCUGGCCUCUCGGGGUCCGAGUUGUAAUUUGUAGAGGAUGUUUUGGGUACCGCCCCGGUUUAAAUUUCUUGGAACAGAAUGUCAGAGAGGGUGAGAAUCCCGUCUUGGACCGGGGUAGGGCCUGUGUAAAACUCCUUCGACGAGUCGAGUUGUUUGGGAAUGCAGCUCAAAAUGGGUGGUAAAUUUCAUCUAAAGCUAAAUAUUGGCCAGAGACCGAUAGCGCACAAGUAGAGUGAUCGAAAGAUGAAAAGCACUUUGAAAAGAGAGUUAAACAGUAUGUGAAAUUGUUGAAAGGGAAGCGCUUGCAACCAGACUUGAGCGCGGCGGUUCCCCCAGCCUUUUGGCUGGGCUACUCCGUCGUGUCCAGGCCAACAUCGGUUCUGAGGGUCGGUUAAAGGCCUUGGGAAUGUAUCUACCCACGGGUAGACUUAUAGACCAGGGUGUCAUGCGGCCUCUCGGGACCGAGGAACGCGCUUCGGCUCGGAUGUUGGCGUAAUGGUUGUCAGCGACCCGUCUUGAAACACGGACCAAGGAGUCUAACAUCUAUGCGAGUGUUUGGGUGUCAAACCCGGAACGCGGAAUGAAAGUGAACGGAGGUAGGAAGCUUCGGCUGCACUAUCGACCGAUCCUGAAGUUUACGGAAGGAUUUGAGUAAGAGCAUAGCUGUUGGGACCCGAAAGAUGGUGAACUAUGCCUGAAUAGGGUGAAGCCAGAGGAAACUCUGGUGGAGGCUCGCAGCGGUUCUGACGUGCAAAUCGAUCGUCAAAUUUGGGUAUAGGGGCGAAAGACUAAUCGAACCAUCUGGUAGCUGGUUCCUGCCAA
This 908-nucleotide ribosomal RNA is filed under the name Cladophialophora boppii. Its description in RNAcentral is "LSU rRNA". It matches the Rfam family "Eukaryotic large subunit ribosomal RNA", at positions 35 to 964 of the family's 3401-position model. The record is from RNAcentral. Lineage: Eukaryota; Fungi; Ascomycota; Eurotiomycetes; Chaetothyriales; Herpotrichiellaceae.